GUAAUGAUCUGGACGCUGUCUCAACCGUGAGCUCAGUGAAAUUGUAGUAUCGGUGAAGAUGCCGAUUACCCGCGAUGGGACGAAAAGACCCCGUGAACCUUUACUAUAGCUUAUCAUUGAAUCUGGGCACGUGAUGUGUAGGAUAGGUCGGAGGCUUUGAAGCAGGUACGCCAGUAUUUGUGGAGCCGCUGUUGAAAUACGACCCUUUAUUUGUUUGGAUUCUAACCCGUGGAACGGGGACAUUGAUUGGUGGGUAGUUUGACUGGGGUGGUCGCCUCCAAAAGCGUAACGGAGGCUUCUAAAGGUGCCCUCCGGCCGAUUGGUAACCGGCCUUAGAGUGUAAUGGCAUAAGGGCGCUUGACUGGGAGACUGACAAGUCGAUCAGGUAGGAAACUAGAGCAUAGUG
This 406-nucleotide ribosomal RNA is filed under the name Salmonella enterica subsp. enterica serovar Enteritidis. RNAcentral's name for it is "partial 23S ribosomal RNA". It matches the Rfam family "Bacterial large subunit ribosomal RNA", at positions 2001 to 2417 of the family's 2925-position model. Lineage: Bacteria; Pseudomonadati; Pseudomonadota; Gammaproteobacteria; Enterobacterales; Enterobacteriaceae. The record is from RNAcentral.